GCUGGGCAUGGUGGUGAAUGCCUGUAAUCCCUGCACCUUGAGAGGCUGAGGCAGGAGGGUCACGAGUUCAAAGCCAGUCUCAGCAAUGGUGAGGUACUAAGCAACUCAGUGAGACCAUGUCUCUA
RNAcentral lists this small RNA (125 nucleotides) under Marmota monax (woodchuck). Lineage: Eukaryota; Metazoa; Chordata; Mammalia; Rodentia; Sciuridae. The record is from RNAcentral.